GAUGAACGCUGGCGGCGUGCCUAAUACAUGCAAGUCGAGCGAACGGACGAGAAGCUUGCUUCUCUGAUGUUAGCGGCGGACGGGUGAGUAACACGUGGAUACCCUACCUAUAAGACUGGGAUAACUUCGGGAAACCGGAGCUAAUACCGGAUAAUAUUUUGAACCGCAUGGUUCAAAAGUGAAAGACGGUCUUGCUGUCACUUAUAGAUGGAUCCGCGCUGCAUUAGCUAGUUGGUAAGGUAACGGCUUACCAAGGCAACGAUGCGUAGCCGACCGGAGAGGGGGAUCGGCCACCUGGGAACGUGAACGCGGACCAGACGCCUACGGGAGGCAGCAGUAGGGAAUCUGCCGCAAUGGGCGAAAGCCUGACGGAGCAACGCCGCGUGUGUGAUGAAGGCCUUCGGAUCGUAAAACUCUGUUAUGAGGGAAGAACAGAUGUGUAAGGAACUGAGCACAUCGUGACGGUACCUAAUCAGAAAGCCACGGCUAACUACGUG
Molecule: ribosomal RNA, 497 nt
Filed under: uncultured bacterium
Lineage: Bacteria
Description: partial 16S ribosomal RNA
Rfam family: Bacterial small subunit ribosomal RNA
Source: RNAcentral